AUUGAACGCUGGCGGCAGGCCUAACACAUGCAAGUCGAACGAGUGGCGGACGGGUGAGUAAUGCAUGGGAAUCUAGCUGAUGGAGGGGGAUCACUACGGGAAACUGUAGCUAAUACCGCGUACCAUAGGAUGAGCCCAGGUGGGAUUAGGUAGUUGGUGGGGUAAAGGCUCACCAAGGCGACGAUCUCUAGCUGGUCUGAGAGGAUGAUCAGCCACACUGGAACUGAGACACGGCCCAGACUCCUACGGGAGGCAGCAGUGGGGAAUAUUCGGCAAUGGGCGAAAGCCUGACCCAGCAACGCCGCGUGUGUGAAGAAGGUUUUCGGAUCGUAAAGCACUGUUAGUAGGGAAGCGGUAUCUAAACAAAAAGCAACGGCUAACUACGUGCCAGCAGCCGCGGUAAUUC
Molecule: ribosomal RNA, 406 nt
Filed under: uncultured bacterium
Lineage: Bacteria
Description: partial 16S ribosomal RNA
Rfam family: Bacterial small subunit ribosomal RNA
Source: RNAcentral